CCUACGGGCGGCAGCAGUGGGGAAUAUUGGACAAUGGGCGAAAGCCUGAUCCAGCCAUGCCGCGUGUGUGAAGAAGGCCUUCGGGUUGUAAAGCACUUUCAGUGGGGAAGAAAGCCUUGGGGCUAAUACCCUCGAGGAAGGACAUCACCCACAGAAGAAGCACCGGCUAACUCCGUGCCAGCAGCCGCGGUAAUACGGAGGGUGUGAGCGUUAAUCGGAAUUACUGGGCGUAAAGCGCGCGUAGGCGGUCUGAUAAGCCGGUUGUGAAAGCCCCGGGCUCAACCUGGGAACGGCAUCCGGAACUGUCAGGCUAGAGUGAAGGAGAGGAAGGUAGAAUUCCCGGUGUAGCGGUGAAAUGCGUAGAGAUCGGGAGGAAUACCAGUGGCGAAGGCGGCCUUCUGGACUGACACUGACGCUGAGGUGCGAAAGCGUGGGUAGCAAACAGGAUUAGAUACCCCAGUAGUC
RNAcentral lists this ribosomal RNA (465 nucleotides) under Vreelandella stevensii. Its description in RNAcentral is "partial 16S ribosomal RNA". It matches the Rfam family "Bacterial small subunit ribosomal RNA", at positions 338 to 795 of the family's 1533-position model. The record is from RNAcentral. Lineage: Bacteria; Pseudomonadati; Pseudomonadota; Gammaproteobacteria; Oceanospirillales; Halomonadaceae.